AGUGAACGCUGGCGGUAGGCCUAACACAUGCAAGUCGAACGGCAGCACAGUAAGAGCUUGCUCUUACGGGUGGCGAGUGGCGGACGGGUGAGGAAUACAUCGGAAUCUACUUUUUCGUGGGGGAUAACGUAGGGAAACUUACGCUAAUACCGCAUACGACCUACGGGUGAAAGCAGGGGAUCUUCGGACCUUGCGCGAUUGAAUGAGCCGAUGUCGGAUUAGCUAGUUGGCGGGGUAAAGGCCCACCAAGGCGACGAUCCGUAGCUGGUCUGAGAGGAUGAUAAGCGACACUGGAACUGAGACACGGUCCAGACUACUAAGGGAGGCAGCAGUGGGGAAUAGUGGACAAAGGGCGCAAGCCUGAUCCAGCCAUACCGCGUGGGUGAAGAAGGCCUUCGGGUUGUAAAGCCCUUUUGUUGGGAAAGAAAAGCAGCAGGUUAAUACCCAGCUGUUCUGACGGUACCCAAAGAAUAAGCACCGGCUAACUUCGUG
Molecule: ribosomal RNA, 492 nt
Filed under: uncultured bacterium
Lineage: Bacteria
Description: partial 16S ribosomal RNA
Rfam family: Bacterial small subunit ribosomal RNA
Source: RNAcentral